ACCAUUCUAUGAUGAAUUGUCCUUAGUGGAUUCUGAUGAACCUGAUGUCAUUUUGGUUCAAUGAGAACAUGCUAUGACAUGUCUGAGACAAU
This is a small nucleolar RNA of Oryza sativa (Asian cultivated rice), 92 nucleotides long. It matches the Rfam family "Small nucleolar RNA Z165". From Rfam's summary of the family: Z165 is a member of the C/D class of snoRNA which contain the C (UGAUGA) and D (CUGA) box motifs. Most of the members of the box C/D family function in directing site-specific 2'-O-methylation of substrate RNAs. NCBI's taxonomy places the organism in Eukaryota, Viridiplantae, Streptophyta, Magnoliopsida, Poales, Poaceae. The record is from Rfam.